RNAcentral lists this transfer RNA (65 nucleotides) under Cherax cartalacoolah. Its description in RNAcentral is "tRNA-His". It matches the Rfam family "tRNA". From Rfam's summary of the family: Transfer RNA (tRNA) molecules are approximately 80 nucleotides in length. Their secondary structure includes four short double-helical elements and three loops (D, anti-codon, and T loops). Lineage: Eukaryota; Metazoa; Arthropoda; Malacostraca; Decapoda; Parastacidae. The record is from RNAcentral.
AUUUAAAUAGUUUAAAGGUAAAAUUUUGGUUUGUGGGACCAAAGAUAUAGUUUAUAUUUUAAAUC